This 460-nucleotide ribosomal RNA is filed under the name uncultured bacterium. RNAcentral's name for it is "partial 16S ribosomal RNA". It matches the Rfam family "Bacterial small subunit ribosomal RNA", at positions 338 to 795 of the family's 1533-position model. The record is from RNAcentral.
CCUACGGGAGGCAGCAGUGAGGAAUAUUGGUCAAUGGACGAGAGUCUGAACCAGCCAAGCCGCGUGAAGGAUGACUGCCCUAUGGGUUGUAAACUUCUUUUAUAUGGGAAUAAAAUGGUCCACGUGUGGGAUUUUGUAUGUACCAUAUGAAUAAGGAUCGGCUAACUCCGUGCCAGCAGCCGCGGUAAUACGGAGGAUCCGAGCGUUAUCCGGAUUUAUUGGGUUUAAAGGGGGCGUAGGCGGAUUGUUAAGUCAGUUGUGAAAGUUUGGGGCUCAACCGUAAAAUUGCAGUUGAAACUGGCAGUCUUGAGUACAGUAGAGGUAGGCGGAAUGCGUGGUGUAGCGGUGAAAUGCUUAGAUAUCACGAAGAACUCCGAUUGCGAAGGCAGUUCACUGGACUGCAACUGACACUGAGGCUCGAAAGUGUGGGUAUCAAACAGGAUUAGAUACCCCAGUAGUC